GAUGAACGCUGGCGGCGUGCUUAACACAUGCAAGUCGAACGAUGAAGCCCAGCUUGCUGGGUGGAUUAGUGGCGAACGGGUGAGUAACACGUGAGUAACCUGCCCUUAACUCUGGGAUAAGCCUGGGAAACUGGGUCUAAUACCGGAUAGGAGCGUCCACCGCAUGGUGGGUGUUGGAAAGAUUUAUCGGUUUUGGAUGGACUCGCGGCCUAUCAGCUUGUUGGUGAGGUAAUGGCUCACCAAGGCGACGACGGGUAGCCGGCCUGAGAGGGUGACCGGCCACACUGGGACUGAGACACGGCCCAGACUCCUACGGGAGGCAGCAGUGGGGAAUAUUGCACAAUGGGCGCAAGCCUGAUGCAGCGACGCCGCGUGAGGGAUGACGGCCUUCGGGUUGUAAACCUCUUCCAGUAGGGAAGAAGCGAAAGUGACGGUACCUGCAGAAGAAGCACCGGCUAACUACGUG
This 466-nucleotide ribosomal RNA is filed under the name uncultured bacterium. Its description in RNAcentral is "partial 16S ribosomal RNA". It matches the Rfam family "Bacterial small subunit ribosomal RNA", at positions 28 to 507 of the family's 1533-position model. The record is from RNAcentral.